CUGGCUACUACACGAACAUUCAUUUCUUAGUUUUAGAGCUUGUCUGAGAAGAACAAGGCCCAUGUACUACAACAGAACGAACUAGGAGAGUGUCUCAGGAGGGAGAAUUGCUGAUCACACCCUGCAAGUCCCUGAAUACUCUGGGACAAUUUGGAGAAGCUACACCAAAACUGGAUCAGUUGACAGCCAAGAGACUCAAGACAAUUUAGAGGAAUGCAGACUUCUCACUAACAGAAGAGGAAGAUUCCUUAGGAUGAUUUAAGAGUAAGAAAAUGCAAGAUGGUAUGAGGCUACUCAGAGGAAUACUUAGUGAAUAUAUGCAAAGAGGCAUCACUCCAUAUCCAAGUCUUGUAGAAAGAUGAAUACUUUGUCAAAGGGGACACUUCAUUGUGUCACUGCCAAUUAAGCUGGACAAGACACUAGAAGAUGCACAGUGAGAGAUCAGUUCCACUGACGAAUAAAUGGCAGUAUGACUGCCGUUAGAAGUUUGUUACAGAGUGAGCAAUGAACCCACUCAAAGAGAGCUUUGAUGCCAAGUCCAUUCAAAAUAUCUGUGGAAAUAAAACCUGAGAAUAUUUUGAGAAAUAACUUUUAUUUGAGCUCAUUUUGUGUGCCUGCAUAGAAGGCAAACAUUUCCUAACCCAGGGGCAAAACCAAAGCACUAAAGAAGGCCAAAGCUUCCUUUCCCCACAGCUACAGGAGGAAAAAAUAAAUAAGAAAAAGAUACCUCUGCACAAUGGUCAGUUCUAUGAUGGUUUCCGUUAGUGACACAGUCCCCCACUUCUCAAGUGAGGCCAUAACAUUUUCUCUAAUAUUCUGAAUAUCGAUUUAGAACAGCAUUCAAACCUUCACAGACAUUCAAGACAUAAUGGUAAUGAAACAAUAAUAACAAAACCUUCCAUCUGAAGCACUUCUUACAAUUUUCAAAGGGUUUUCACAUACAUUAUCUAAUUUGAUCCUCACAAUAGUUGUAAGAGAGGCACCUGUAAUGUGACAUUAUAGCUAAAAUGUUUUACCUCUAAAAUCCAUUAUGCUGCGAUCUCUAUAAUUCAUGUCCAGGAGAAAACUGAAGUACAAACAUUUAGCCUAGAAUGGUGGCCCUUUCCACUCACCUAUAAAUUGAGAGAGGAUAUCUAAGCAUUUUUCAUAUACAUUUAUACCUAAAUGGACACAAAACUGGAGUAGCAAAAC
Hipposideros armiger (great roundleaf bat) is the source of this 1191-nucleotide long non-coding RNA. RefSeq lists it as uncharacterized. The transcript has 3 exons. The record is from RefSeq and is a predicted model, not a curated record. Lineage: Eukaryota; Metazoa; Chordata; Mammalia; Chiroptera; Hipposideridae.